This is a non-coding RNA of Lupinus albus (white lupine), 78 nucleotides long. The record is from the annotation of a GenBank genome assembly. Lineage: Eukaryota; Viridiplantae; Streptophyta; Magnoliopsida; Fabales; Fabaceae.
GGAUCCAUAAGCUCAAAUUGGAAAGAGCGCCCAAAUGCUAUGCAUGGGAGGAUGGUGGUUCGAGUCCACCUGGAUCCG